Long non-coding RNA from Oxyura jamaicensis (ruddy duck), 261 nucleotides. RefSeq lists it as uncharacterized. The transcript has 2 exons. The record is from RefSeq and is a predicted model, not a curated record. Lineage: Eukaryota; Metazoa; Chordata; Aves; Anseriformes; Anatidae.
AAUUUCCCAGCUUUUCUAAUGGAUUCAAUGAUACAAUCACCAUCUCAUGAAAUCUCCAGCUUCAUUCUUUACUGGGACUGUGCAGAAGAAUAGAAGUUUAAACUCUGUGGUCUACACCUCAGCUGUUGGCUGUUUCAGGGUACAGAAUAUCUGCUCCCAACAGCCUUUCGUUUUCACAUGUUCCAUCAGGAGCGGAGUCAAGGGAACUUGACGGGUUUGAUACAUUUUGCAGUUGUUUGCAGUAAAGACUCAUCUGUGGCA